CAACUAAUGACGAUUAUUAUUGAACACUUUUUUUACAACCAAAUAGAACUCUAGAUGGGAAAGAAACCCAUAAGCAAAUAACCUAUGAAGAAAAAUUUAUUUUCAUUUUCUCUUUUAUUCACAUGUUUGUUUUAAUUAAAUUCAUCACCCAUUUUCAACAAUGUAUGCGUGUAUGUGUGUGUAUUAUUUUUGCUAAGUAGGAAGUGAAUUUGAGAUCAG
This 219-nucleotide unclassified non-coding RNA is filed under the name Hevea brasiliensis (rubber tree). The record is from RNAcentral. Lineage: Eukaryota; Viridiplantae; Streptophyta; Magnoliopsida; Malpighiales; Euphorbiaceae.